AAAGGUAUAAAAGAGAUAAUUACAAAAAUAGGGAGGGGUCAAUUAAAAAUCUUCUCAAGAACUGCUGGGCAAGGAAAGUUCAAAUGUUCAUGGCAGCUUCCUGACAUAGUGUAGAUUAAAGUUUGUUGAAACCAUGGCUCCUGGGGGGUAGGAUGCCCGGGGCUACAAUAGGGGAUCAAAGUUUUAUAUCUGAAUAUAUAGGGAACAAAUCUUUAAAAAGCUCCUUCAUAAAGCAAUAAUUAUAUAUAAAUAUUUAUUAUAUUUGAUAUAUAUAUUUAUUUGAUAGUAAAUAUAUAUAAUGCUAUCCAUUUCACGUAAUUUUUGGAAUUUUUUAAUUAUUCUGAUGUCAACCUUACACGUAUAUUUUUCACAGGUUUUGAAUAUAAUGUCUCUAGUAUGGAUAUGUUUGACGAUUGUUACCAUGGAAACGAACUCACAGACCAACAUGUAUGUCAAAACAGGUUUUGAACAUGAUGUCUCCAGCAAGGAUAUGUUUGAUGACGGUUACCAUGGAAACGAACUCACGGACCUAUGUCAAAAAUGUCUUUUUCUGAUAAAAUAAAUAUAAUGCUAUCCAUUUCA
Molecule: long non-coding RNA, 582 nt
Organism: Ostrea edulis (European flat oyster)
Lineage: Eukaryota; Metazoa; Mollusca; Bivalvia; Ostreida; Ostreidae
Exons: 2
Source: RefSeq, a predicted model, not a curated record